This 501-nucleotide ribosomal RNA is filed under the name uncultured bacterium. RNAcentral describes it as "partial 16S ribosomal RNA". It matches the Rfam family "Bacterial small subunit ribosomal RNA", at positions 30 to 523 of the family's 1533-position model. The record is from RNAcentral.
AUUGAACGCUGGCGGCAGGCUUAACACAUGCAAGUCGAGCGGGGGAAGGUAGCUUGCUACCGGACCUAGCGGCGGACGGGUGAGUAAUGCUUAGGAAUCUGCCUAUUAGUGGGGGACAACAUCUCGAAAGGGAUGCUAAUACCGCAUACGUCCUACGGGAGAAAGCAGGGGAUCUUCGGACCUUGCGCUAAUAGAUGAGCCUAAGUCGGAUUAGCUAGUUGGUGGGGUAAAGGCCUACCAAGGCGACGAUCUGUAGCGGGUCUGAGAGGAUGAGCAGCCACACUGGGACUGAGACACGGCCCAGACUCCUACGGGAGGCAGCAGUGGGGAAUAUUGGACAAUGGGGGGAACCCUGAUCCAGCCAUGCCGCGUGUGUGAAGAAGGCCUUAUGGUUGUAAAGCACUUUAAGCGAGGAGGAGGCUACUUUAGUUAAUACCUAGAGAUAGUGGACGUUACUCGCAGAAUAAGCACCGGCUAACUCUGUGCCAGCAGCCGCAGUAA